Molecule: ribosomal RNA, 500 nt
Filed under: uncultured bacterium
Lineage: Bacteria
Description: partial 16S ribosomal RNA
Rfam family: Bacterial small subunit ribosomal RNA
Source: RNAcentral
AUUGAACGCUGGCGGCAUGCCUUACACAUGCAAGUCGAACGGCAGCACGGGAGCAAUCCUGGUGGCGAGUGGCGAACGGGUGAGUAAUAUAUCGGAACGUGCCCAGUCGUGGGGGAUAACGUAGCGAAAGCUACGCUAAUACCGCAUACGAUCUACGGAUGAAAGCGGGGGAUCGCAAGACCUCGCGCGGUUGGAGCGGCCGAUAUCAGAUUAGUUAGGUGGUGGGGUAAAGGCUCACCAAGCUGAAGAUCUGUAGCUGGUCUGAGAGGACGACAAGGCACACUGGGACUGAGACACGGCCCAGACUCCUCCGGGAGGCAGCAGUGGGGAAUUUUGGACAAUGGGCGCAAGCCUGAUCCAGCAAUGCCGCGUGCAGGAUGAAGGCCUUCGGGUUGUAAACUGCUUUUGUACGGAACGAAACGGCGAGCUCUAAUACAGUUUGCUAAUGACGGUACCGUAAGAAUAAGCACCGGCUAACUACGUGCCAGCCGCCGCCGUAA